UACAGAGGUCUCAAGCGUUGUUCGGAUUCAUUGGGCGUAAAGGGUGCGUAGGCGGGCAGGUAAGUCAGUGGUGAAAUCCCCGGGCUUAACUUGGGAACUGCCGUUGAUACUAUCUGUCUUGAAUAUCGUGGAGGUGAGCGGAAUAUGUCAUGUAGCGGUGAAAUGCUUAGAUAUGACAUAGAACACCCAUUGCGAAGGCAGCUCACUACACGAUAAUUGACGCUGAGGCACGAAAGCGUGGGGAGCAAACAGG
This 253-nucleotide ribosomal RNA is filed under the name uncultured bacterium. Its description in RNAcentral is "partial 16S ribosomal RNA". It matches the Rfam family "Bacterial small subunit ribosomal RNA", at positions 524 to 776 of the family's 1533-position model. The record is from RNAcentral.